AAAGGAUGCUUAGGAUCAGGAAGAAGUGCUCUUUGCUCCCUGAUCGGAGGAAAGAACAGCAUCAUGAGAAUCUUCCCAGCGAGUCCUCUGCGUGAAGGGCAAGUGGUGACCUGUGUGAGGACAGAAGAACACAAGGAGACAUGGCAGAAACCUUGGAAACAAAAGUAACUGCGCAGUGAGUCAUUGGAACCCACUGGGGACUUCCAAGUUCAAGGGGAUUGUUUCCCAGCUAAGGAAUUCACUAUCUCUGUUAUACUUCUUAAGAAUGUGAGUAUAUUUUCCAUUGGAAAAAUAAUCCUAUUUCUGAAAGUAAGGGGCGGAAAAAGUUUUUCCUGUAUUUGCCUAGG
Long non-coding RNA from Eptesicus fuscus (big brown bat), 347 nucleotides. RefSeq lists it as uncharacterized. The transcript has 3 exons. NCBI's taxonomy places the organism in Eukaryota, Metazoa, Chordata, Mammalia, Chiroptera, Vespertilionidae. The record is from RefSeq and is a predicted model, not a curated record.